Molecule: ribosomal RNA, 400 nt
Filed under: uncultured Citrobacter sp.
Lineage: Bacteria; Pseudomonadati; Pseudomonadota; Gammaproteobacteria; Enterobacterales; Enterobacteriaceae
Description: bacterial SSU rRNA
Rfam family: Bacterial small subunit ribosomal RNA
Source: RNAcentral
UAACGCGAAGAACCUUACCUACUCUUGACAUCCACAGAACUUAGCAGAGAUGCUUUGGUGCCUUCGGGAACUGUGAGACAGGUGCUGCAUGGCUGUCGUCAGCUCGUGUUGUGAAAUGUUGGGUUAAGUCCCGCAACGAGCGCAACCCUUAUCCUUUGUUGCCAGCGGUUCGGCCGGGAACUCAAAGGAGACUGCCAGUGAUAAACUGGAGGAAGGUGGGGAUGACGUCAAGUCAUCAUGGCCCUUACGAGUAGGGCUACACACGUGCUACAAUGGCAUAUACAAAGAGAAGCGACCUCGCGAGAGCAAGCGGACCUCAUAAAGUAUGUCGUAGUCCGGAUUGGAGUCUGCAACUCGACUCCAUGAAGUCGGAAUCGCUAGUAAUCGUAGAUCAGAAUGC